Molecule: long non-coding RNA, 1742 nt
Organism: Alligator sinensis (Chinese alligator)
Lineage: Eukaryota; Metazoa; Chordata; Crocodylia; Alligatoridae
Exons: 4
Source: RefSeq, a predicted model, not a curated record
GAUUGGCUGACCUGAAAGUAAACCGGACAGGAAGAUGAAGCAGGGGAAGGAGGACCUAGUGGAGAUAAUGUUUGUAUAGGGAAGGGGGACUCCUCAAAGGAAGACUUAAGGAUGCCUAAAAUUUUGAAUGGGAGUACAGACCCCUCUGGAAAUCUGUGUGUGUAGUGAAAAUACACUCGCACUCCAUCCCAGUUUGUAGAAUGAUAUCACCAGGGCAAGCAGGAGUGGAGCAAGGUGGUGUGACCCAGGCGUUGUCCCUGGGAAAUGUGACGUUUUACUAUCAUGCAACAAUGGGGUCAACAUUUUGACAUAAGAAGCUACUGAUUGGAUGGGUUUUCUGUAUUUGUAUGUUUAAAAGCCUAUACAGUUCUAAUGAUUUAUACAUUUUGGGUCUUAUUUUCACAAUUGCUGGCCUCUCAAAACAUCAAAUGGAAACAGUGGGACUUGAAAUUGCUCAACCUAUAACUUUACCAUAUAAAAUAUUCUAGUCCAUUAUCCAUUACUCAUUUAUAAUCAGGUGUUUCCAGAGAAGGGGGGUAAAAGUCAGAACAUAUAUCUGCAUGGUGUAUUAGCAGAACUAUAGUGCAAUGCAUGGAAAAGAAAAAAGUUAAUAGUAAGAAGGGCAAAAGGAAUUGAGUUAGAGAAGUAGUGCCCAAACUUUUGGCCCUAUGAGCUGGAUGAGUAGGACUUGGUGAGUCUGUGGACCAGAUCCAAUCUGUAGCCCAACUGGGUAGGCAAGGGGCUGGGGCCCAAGGUGGUGUACUCUGGAUCAGGCCCCAGGCACACCAUAUUGUGGCAAUGGCCCUGGGCCUGCAUCAAAUUGGGCAUACCAGCCCAGCCCCUGGUACUUGUGUGCUGUUGGAUACCAUGCUCAAGCCCAUGGAGCUUGAAAAUAUGACAGUGGGGGAACGGUGGCAGUCUUAAUUGCUAGUAAUCCCACUCCCCUCUCCCCUCUCCCACCCACCACCAAAUUUCUGGACCUUUAGAGAGCUCCAGGGGCUAGAUCACAGCUCUGUGGGCUGGGGUUGAGCACCCCUGAGUAAGAGAAGCUAACAACGUGAGGAACGAGGAGUGCAAUAAGAAAGUGAGAGGUGCCAAAGGAAGAAGCAAGUAUCACAAUGCAGAAAAGAGAAAAGUAUUCACAGGCCUCCCAAUUCUGAAAUCUAAAUGGAAGACUUGGUUCUUUGAUUUUCCUCAGUAAAUUGUAUACACAUGCGACACAUAUACACUAACAUUCAUAGACAUUCAAUGAACUAAUCAAUCUUGUGCAUGCAGGACUUGAGCUAGGGCAGCAGGCACACCAGGGGACAUUGCUGGGGUGGAGGGGCAUGAUCUGUCACAAUCACGCUCAGCAGCAAGAGAAUGAAGAAGAGCUCCACAGAUGGCCUGGUUAUAAAGGAAGAUUAAGGAACUGGGAUAAGUUCAUGGACAGAACAGAAUGACAGAAAGGGAAGCUAUGACUCUCCAGUUCAGGUGUAAGGAGUUAGUGCUCGAGGUUCCCAGGCUGAACUGCAGAGUAGAGGUGUUUUGUUUUUUCCCAUACUUAUGAACUUUGUCAGUGACCAUAUUGCACCAGAAACAACGUUUUUUUUUUUCUCCCUCCUGUUGCCUUGAGCAAGGGAUUGGACUAGAUGAGGUACCUUCCAACCUUACUUCACCAUAACUAUGAUUCCUGUAGGUUGAGAAUUAAGAAAUAUUUUUAUAUUUGCAUAUGUUUUAUAUUUAAUUUUUAUAUUCCACAA